UAGGGAAUCUUCGGCAAUGGGGGGAACCCUGACCGAGCAACGCCGCGUGAGUGAAGAAGGUUUUCGGAUCGUAAAGCUCUGUUGUUAAGGAAGAACGAGUGUGAGAAUGGAAAGUUCAUACUGUGACGGUACCUAACCAGAAAGGGACGGCUAACUACGUGCCAGCAGCCGCGGUAAUACGUAGGUCCCGAGCGUUGUCCGGAUUUAUUGGGCGUAAAGCGAGCGCAGGCGGUUAGAUAAGUCUGAAGUUAAAGGCAGUGGCUCAACCAUUGUAGGCUUUGGAAACUGUUUAACUUGAGUGCAGAAGGGGAGAGUGGAAUUCCAUGUGUAGCGGUGAAAUGCGUAGAUAUAUGGAGGAACACCGGUGGCGAAAGCGGCUCUCUGGUCUGUAACUGACGCUGAGGCUCGAAAGCGUGGGGAGCGAACAGG
This 429-nucleotide ribosomal RNA is filed under the name Bacteroidota bacterium. Its description in RNAcentral is "Bacteroidetes bacterium partial 16S ribosomal RNA". It matches the Rfam family "Bacterial small subunit ribosomal RNA", at positions 355 to 776 of the family's 1533-position model. The record is from RNAcentral. Lineage: Bacteria; Pseudomonadati; Bacteroidota.